This 261-nucleotide long non-coding RNA is filed under the name Gossypium barbadense (sea-island cotton). RNAcentral's name for it is "long non-coding RNA (GBAR_LNC021688)". Lineage: Eukaryota; Viridiplantae; Streptophyta; Magnoliopsida; Malvales; Malvaceae. The record is from RNAcentral.
AGAACUAUCACCCCUCAUAUGUCUAUAACUUUCAUAUCCAACCGAGUCGACUUAAUUGAACAUAUGCAUACAAACAUUUGGGUUUAGCUUGUAUACGAGGAGAGAGCAAGCCAAAGUCCUUUCAAGUACCAGACAGCUUGGGUUCUACCAGGAAAAUGGUCGGUCCUAAAAAACACGUUCUUCUUUUUAUCUGUCAAAUGUGAGGUACGGUCCCAGUAGGGGACCAAGGUUCUCAUAAUUCCACUGGCAGAAGCACCCGGC